This 21-nucleotide non-coding RNA is filed under the name Caenorhabditis elegans. Lineage: Eukaryota; Metazoa; Nematoda; Chromadorea; Rhabditida; Rhabditidae. The record is from RNAcentral.
UUAUGUGGUCGGUUUACGAUU